Molecule: long non-coding RNA, 725 nt
Organism: Impatiens glandulifera
Lineage: Eukaryota; Viridiplantae; Streptophyta; Magnoliopsida; Ericales; Balsaminaceae
Exons: 3
Source: RefSeq, a predicted model, not a curated record
UGAAGAACAAAUUGAGUGUGCAGCUCUCACUGAAGAACAAAGACGAUUUUCACAACGCCUUCUACCAUUGACUUGUACUGAUGAGCGCCCCUAUUUAAGUAGGUGUUCGGGCGCAUUACUUGUGCGAUCUAUGCCGAUGAGAAAGGAUGGCGAUGUUCAGGCAGCGCCUUCUACCGUUUGACUUGUCCUGAUGAGUGCCCCACUGAUAAUAGAUGUUCGAGCGAAGUACUUGUGCAAUCUAUGCCGAUGAGAAAGGAUGACGAUGUUCAUGUAGUAUGUUGUUUCUAUUAUUUUCCAUAAUAACUCCACGUUCUUGAUUUUCUAUAGGCUCGCUCUUCAAUACCCUAUCUUUUUGGAAGUUUUAAAGCCCUAAAAAUGGAAAUUAGAAUUAGCUGCUAGCUCUACAUAAUAUCAUCAAGGUGAAACCAUCAAAGAAGAGAAUCAUAUGUACAGUCUUAUCAAAGGGGAAAAAGAAGAUGAUAAUAAUAUGAAGGGCGAGGAUCGGAUUACUUUGUGAUCCUAUUUUUGAUCAAUCUGAGGAUCAGAUUGCUUGUGAAGGGUCGGACUUCUUGACUACAUGAUCAACAAAUACAACAGAGAAUCUCAAUAAAUUUCAAUAUGUUUUACGGUACAGGUUGAUCAUGCAAAGUCGUCAACAAAGUUUGUUAUUCUAUGACUCUCGAGUCUAGAGUAAGUUCUUUUUUACCGAAUUUACAAUUAAAAGU